This 253-nucleotide ribosomal RNA is filed under the name uncultured bacterium. RNAcentral's name for it is "partial 16S ribosomal RNA". It matches the Rfam family "Bacterial small subunit ribosomal RNA", at positions 524 to 776 of the family's 1533-position model. The record is from RNAcentral.
UACAGGGGGCGCGAGCGUUGCUCGGAAUCACUGGGCGUAAAGCGUACGCAGGCGGACCGUUAAGUCGGGUGUGAAAUCCCAGGGCUCAACCCUGGACGUGCAUUCGAUACUGGCGGUCUCGAGUACGGGAGAGGUGAGUGGAAUUCCUGGUGUAGAGGUGAAAUGCGUAGAUAUCUGGAGGAACACCGGUGGCGAAGGCGGCAUCCUGGACCGAUACUGACGCUGAGGAGCGAAAGCCAGGGGAGCAAACGGG